GACGAACGCUGGCGGCGUGCUUAACACAUGCAAGUCGAACGGAAAGGCCCUGCUUUUGUGGGGUGCUCGAGUGGCGAACGGGUGAGUAACACGUGAGUAACCCGUCCCUGACUUAGGGAUAACUUCAGGAAACUGGGGCUAAUAUCGGAUAGGAGCUUUUGCAGCAUGGUGGGGGCUGGAAAGUUUCGGUGGUUGGGGAUGGACUCGCGGCUUAUCAGCUUGUUGGUGGGGUAGUGGCUUACCAAGCCUUUGACGGGUAGCCGGCCUGAGAGGGUGACCGGCCACAUUGGGACUGAGAUACGGCCCAGACGCGUACGGGAGGCAACAGUGGGGAGUAUUGCACAAUGGGCGGGAGCCUGAUGCAGCAACGCCGCGUGCGGGAUGACGGCCUUCGGGUUGUAAACCGCUUUCGCCUGUGACGAGGCGUGAGUGACGGUAAUGGGUAAAGAAGCACCGGCUAACUACGUG
Molecule: ribosomal RNA, 468 nt
Filed under: uncultured bacterium
Lineage: Bacteria
Description: partial 16S ribosomal RNA
Rfam family: Bacterial small subunit ribosomal RNA
Source: RNAcentral